This 281-nucleotide signal recognition particle RNA is filed under the name Phascolarctos cinereus (koala). RNAcentral's name for it is "Metazoan signal recognition particle RNA (ENSPCIG00000022809.2)". It matches the Rfam family "Metazoan signal recognition particle RNA". Rfam says of the family: The signal recognition particle (SRP) is a universally conserved ribonucleoprotein. It is involved in the co-translational targeting of proteins to membranes. Lineage: Eukaryota; Metazoa; Chordata; Mammalia; Diprotodontia; Phascolarctidae. The record is from RNAcentral.
GUGUGUGGGGGGGCACACACCUGUAAUCUAGGCUACUGGGAUGGCUGAGGAUGGUGGGUCUCUUGAGCUUGGCAGUUGUGAGAUACAGUGGGAUGCUUAUCAUGUUUCUGCACUAAAUUUAGCAUUGAUAUAGUAAACUCCUUGGAGUGGGAGGCCACCAGGCUGCUUAAGGAGGGCUGAAUAGGCCCAGGCUGGAAAUGGAACAGGCCAAAGGUCCAAUGCUGAUUAAUAGUGAAAUUGGGCUGACGAGUGGCUGGGAGCAAUAGGGAGACCCAGUCUUU